This is a non-coding RNA of Marasmius tenuissimus, 98 nucleotides long. Lineage: Eukaryota; Fungi; Basidiomycota; Agaricomycetes; Agaricales; Marasmiaceae. The record is from the annotation of a GenBank genome assembly.
UCCCUGGUAGUAUAUCGGUUAGUACACGCGCCUGUCAUCGCUCACGAAUGCGAUGUCAUCUGCCGCGCGAAAGCUGGGUUCGACUCCCAGCCAGGGAG